CUGCUGCUAAAGUUUCUACAUAGGUGCAAGAAAAAAGUUCCUUGCAUUUUCUGUCUAGUUGUGACAGCCAAUAUUGAAUGGGAGAAUACAGGA
RNAcentral lists this small nucleolar RNA (93 nucleotides) under Dasypus novemcinctus (nine-banded armadillo). RNAcentral describes it as "Small nucleolar RNA SNORA31 (ENSDNOG00000030108.1)". Lineage: Eukaryota; Metazoa; Chordata; Mammalia; Cingulata; Dasypodidae. The record is from RNAcentral.